RNAcentral lists this ribosomal RNA (318 nucleotides) under uncultured bacterium. Its description in RNAcentral is "bacterial SSU rRNA". It matches the Rfam family "Bacterial small subunit ribosomal RNA", at positions 485 to 796 of the family's 1533-position model. The record is from RNAcentral.
AUUUAGCGGCCCCCGAAUUCGCCCUUUGCCARCARCCGCGGUAAUACGUAGGGUGCAAGCGUUAAUCGGAAUUACUGGGCGUAAAGCGUGCGCAUGCGGUUAUGUAAGACAGAGGUGAAAUCCCCGGGCUCAACCUGGGAACUGCCUUUGUGACUGCAUAGCUGGAGUGCGGCAGAGGGGGAUGGAAUUCCGCGUGUAGCAGUGAAAUGCGUAKAUAURCGGAGGAACACCGAUGGCUGAAGGCAAUCCCCUGGGCCUGCACUGACGCUCAUGCACGAAAGCGUGGGGAGCAAACAGGAUUAGAUACCCUGGUAGUCC